Molecule: long non-coding RNA, 935 nt
Filed under: Homo sapiens (human)
Lineage: Eukaryota; Metazoa; Chordata; Mammalia; Primates; Hominidae
Description: HSALNT0331635
Source: RNAcentral
ACACACAGACACUCAGGGAGGGGUGCUUGUCCGUUGUUCAGGAAGGAAUCCCUGUCCUCAGAGAGCUCACACUGUCCCUGGAGUGUUCUCCAGACACACAGACACACGGGAAACCAAGAUGAGCCACAGGGCUUUCAAGUCCCUGCUGUGGACAAUCUGCAUGUGACAGCUGAGACAGGAGGAAGAGGCCCAAGGGAACGCAUUCCUGCUAGGACAGAGCUGGCUGGCUGCACAGUGGAGAGUGUUUGCUGGAAGCUGCUACCAGCCAUGGGGCACCUACCCGCCCAGCGGCCCUUGCAUCCAGAUGCAGAGCCCUGGACAAAGGACGGAGCUGUGAAAACAGUGCCUGGAGGAUCUGAUCCCUUCUAGCAAGGCCAAGAGACACGGCUGGGCUGGGGAGGACGGGGUCUCCAGGCCUCACCAUGGCCACUUAUCUAGACGCCAGCAUCAAAAGGUUCAAAGCCCAGGUCACAGGCUCAUGAAAAAAUUAAGCAGGUAUCAAAAAAUAUCACAAAGGCAACAGUUUUAUGACAUGAAAACAUCUAUCAGAGACAAUAUAAACCUGUCUGCUAAUAGAACCAGGAUUGGACUUUCCCAGGAUGACCAGGUCGCAAGGGUUGAGAUGACAAAAUCCCCUUAUGGAUGGGACUUCUUGGUCCUGGGUUCCCUUGACUGUGGCUUCCAGAAGAGAAGAGCUUUGGAGUCCUGCUGAGAGUGCCAAAACUGUGGGGGCCAAGAGAUAACUCUCCCUUCACCCUCUGAAGUUUCACUGAAACAUCAACCGACAAAAAGCAGAUUAAUAGGAGAAAUGGCAUACGAAUGUGUUAAGGUGCGUGGAGGGAAUAUCACAGAGUGGUUACCCCAACCCCUCAAUGGUGUACAGAGCUUAUAUACCAUCCUGAGCUUCCAAAAAGAAUAAAGGCUAACAGCAUAUG